This 253-nucleotide ribosomal RNA is filed under the name uncultured bacterium. Its description in RNAcentral is "partial 16S ribosomal RNA". It matches the Rfam family "Bacterial small subunit ribosomal RNA", at positions 524 to 776 of the family's 1533-position model. The record is from RNAcentral.
UACAGAGGGGGCAAGCGUUGUUCGAAAUUACUGGGCGUAAAGGGCGCGUAGGCGGCCUGUUAAGUCGAACGUGAAAUCCCCGGGCUCAACCCGGGAACUGCGUCCGAUACUGGCAGGCUUGAAUCCGGGAGAGGGAUGCGGAAUUCCAGGUGUAGCGGUGAAAUGCGUAGAUAUCUGGAGGAACACCGGUGGCGAAGGCGGCAUCCUGGACCGGCAUUGACGCUGAGGCGCGAAAGCCAGGGGAGCAAACGGG